AUACGUAGGUGGCAAGCGUUGUCCGGAAUUAUUGGGCGUAAAGCGCGCGCAGGUGGUUCCUUAAGUCUGAUGUGAAAGCCCCCGGCUCAACCGGGGAGGGUCAUUGGAAACUGGGGAACUUGAGUGCAGAAGAGGAUAGUGGAAUUCCAAGUGUAGCGGUGAAAUGCGUAGAGAUUUGGAGGAACACCAGUGGCGAAGGCGACGGUCUGGUCUGUAACUGACACGGAGGCGCGAAAGCGUGGGGAGCAAACAGGAUUAGAUACCCUGGUAGUCCACGCCGUAAACGAUGAGUGCUAAGUGUUGGGGGGUUUCCGCCCCUCAGUGCUGCAGCUAACGCAUUAAGCACUCCGCCUGGGGAGUACGGUCGCAAGACUGAAACUCAAAUGAAUUGACGGGG
RNAcentral lists this ribosomal RNA (397 nucleotides) under uncultured bacterium. RNAcentral describes it as "partial 16S ribosomal RNA". It matches the Rfam family "Bacterial small subunit ribosomal RNA", at positions 523 to 918 of the family's 1533-position model. The record is from RNAcentral.